Molecule: long non-coding RNA, 583 nt
Organism: Quercus robur (English oak)
Lineage: Eukaryota; Viridiplantae; Streptophyta; Magnoliopsida; Fagales; Fagaceae
Exons: 2
Source: RefSeq, a predicted model, not a curated record
AUGUGUGGGGUUUGGUUUUGAUCGAUUUUGAGGGAGCUGGGUGGGUGUUACUGUAUGCAUAUGAAAUAUUGGCAUACUUGCUGAUGAUUGUUGUAGGUUGCCCUAUAAUUCUUCCUCGAGAAAAUGAGUCAGUGCUUUUGGGUGCUUCCAUUCUCGGUGAAGUUGCUGCAAAGAAGUUUUCAAGCCUGAAUAAGGCCAUGAAGGCAAUGAAUGCAGCUGGUCAGGGAUCCCCAUCCAUAGGUCUGAGAUCCACAUCUAUGAAUUGAGGAUUGUUGGCCCUUUUUUUAAUUUUAAUUUUCAUAGAUUUGCUUUUGUUUCCUGCGCGGUUGGUAUCAAGACCAUUAAUAAUACAUGGUUUGCACAAUUGUAUCUUGGUUUUUCCAUAAAGGAUAAGUGUGGAGUCAAUAAGUUUUGUAAUAAUUUUGUAAUAUUUCAGCUUCCAAUACAAAUCAGUUGGAAUUCCUGAAAAGUCGUUCAAGGAAUUCAGUCAUUAUAUAAAUCUUAGUUGUAAUCUCAUAUUACCACCAUUUUAAGGUAAUCACAUUACCUAAUCCAAUAUGUGAUCUUAUCGCUCUGUUGCGAA